RNAcentral lists this transfer RNA (84 nucleotides) under Cyanobacteria bacterium UBA11049. Its description in RNAcentral is "tRNA-Tyr". It matches the Rfam family "tRNA". Rfam says of the family: Transfer RNA (tRNA) molecules are approximately 80 nucleotides in length. Their secondary structure includes four short double-helical elements and three loops (D, anti-codon, and T loops). Lineage: Bacteria; Bacillati; Cyanobacteriota. The record is from RNAcentral.
GGGUUGGCUCGCCUAUGGGUGUAGGGCAGCGGUCUGUAAAACCGCCGCUUAUAUGCGUUGUAGGUUCAAAUCCUACUCAACCCA